AGAGUUUGAUCCUGGCUCAGGAUGAACGCUGGCGGCGUGCCUAACACAUGCAAGUCGAACGGAGAUAUUGCUUGGAAGCUUUUCGGAGUGAAAGAGAAGUAUCUUAGUGGCGGACGGGUGAGUAACGCGUGGGCAACCUGCCUCAUACAGGGGGAUAGCAUCGGGAAACUGGUGGUAAAACCGCAUAAGCGCACGAAGACGCAUGUUUUUGUGUGAAAAGGAGAAAUCUGGUAUGAGAUGGACCCGCGUCUGAUUAGCUAGUUUGAGUGGUAAAAGCACACCAAGGCGACGAUCAGUAGCCGGCCUGAGAGGGUGGACGGCCACAUUGGGACUGAGACACGGCCCAGACUCCUACGGGAGGCAGCAGUGGGGAAUAUUGCACAAUGGAGGGAACUCUGAUGCAGCGACGCCGCGUGAGUGAAGAAGUAAUUCGUUAUGUAAAGCUCUAUCAGCAGGGAAGAAAGUGACGGUACCUGAAAAAGAAGCUCCGGCUAAAUACGUGCCAGCAGCCGCGGUAAUACGUAUGGAGCAAGCGUUAUCCGGAUUUACUGGGUGUAAAGGGAGAGUAGGUGGCAGAGCAAGUCCGAAGUGAAAACCCAAAGCUCAACUAUGGGAAUGCUUUAGAAACUGCUCAGCUAGAGUGCAGGAGAGGCAAGUGGAAUUCUUAGUGUAGCGGUGAAAUGCGUAGAUAUUAGGAGGAACACCAGUGGCGAAGGCGGCUUGCUGGACUGUAACUGACACUGAGGCUCGAAAGCGUGGGGAGCAAACAAAAUUAGAUACCCUGGUAGUCCACGCAGUAAACGA
RNAcentral lists this ribosomal RNA (804 nucleotides) under uncultured bacterium. RNAcentral's name for it is "bacterial SSU rRNA". It matches the Rfam family "Bacterial small subunit ribosomal RNA", at positions 8 to 809 of the family's 1533-position model. The record is from RNAcentral.